CUUGAUUGUCCUGUUCUGGAGCUCUGUUCUUAGCUUUAGACAAAAAGUUUCUGCCCCACCCAUCCCCAUCUUAGCACUAUCAGCCACCCCAAACUAUGUAUUAUGUCCUCAUCCCAAGUCCAGACUAGGAUUCCUGGCUUUGUUCUGGGCCCACACAGGUCAGUCCACUUCAGCCCAGACUGCCCUGGGCUUGGACUCUUGACUUGUCCAUGAUGUUGAAAUUUCAAGAGCAGCAUGCCGUGACUGGUGAAGUAGAACAGCAUGAUGCUGGCGCCAGCUACAGCUCCUCAUCAGGCUGCGCUCGGCUCCGAGGCGGGGGGCUCAGAGCGGCAAGCAGAACCGAGACCGUCCGUCAAUCUGUCGCUCCGCCGGAACUUUCUCUAAAUAUGGAUCUAGUAUUUGUCUUUAGGCACUCUGCAUCAGCAAGCUGACCUGAAGAAAGAGACUCAUUCCCUGGAUCCUGUGUUGACUUGCUGGUUGAGUAGCUGGCCUUCCUUUCCUGCCUUCUGGAGAGAUUGGUGCUGGAGAGGCCUUUCUUUCCUGGAGGAGGCUGCAUUGGUGGAACCCUUCCUGAAGACAUCACUAGGACUCCUCGCUUAAGAGACUACCACAACUCCAUGUGGAGAUCAGGACUUUAGAGCCCUUGCCAGGUGGUGACCUGGACUUCUUUGGACAUAAAUAUAGGGUAUGU
RNAcentral lists this long non-coding RNA (691 nucleotides) under Monodelphis domestica (gray short-tailed opossum). RNAcentral's name for it is "lncRNA (ENSMODG00000044418.1)". Lineage: Eukaryota; Metazoa; Chordata; Mammalia; Didelphimorphia; Didelphidae. The record is from RNAcentral.